RNAcentral lists this ribosomal RNA (470 nucleotides) under uncultured eukaryote. RNAcentral describes it as "bacterial SSU rRNA". It matches the Rfam family "Eukaryotic small subunit ribosomal RNA", at positions 1122 to 1604 of the family's 1831-position model. The record is from RNAcentral.
AGUAUGGUCGCAAGGCCGAAACUUAAAGGAAUUGACGGAAGGGCACCACCAGGAGUGGAAUCUGCGGCUUAAUUGACCCAACGCGGGAAAACUCACCAGGUCAGGACACGGUAAGGAUUGACGGACUGAAGGCUCUUUCUCGAUUCCGUGGAAAGUGGUGCAUGGCCGUUUUUGGUUGGUGGAUCGAUCCGUCUGGUUAAUUCCGUUAACGAACGAGACCUCGGCACUCCGAAUAGCGCGGCGGACGUCGCGGCCUCCGGGCCGUCUUCCGCACGAGCUUCUUAGAGGGACCGUCCCCCGCCGGGGAAGGAGGUGCGAGGCAACGACAGGUCUGUGAUGCCCUUAGAUGUUCUGGGCCGCACGCGCAUUACACUGACGCGUCCAACGGGUGACUCCCGACCCGAAGGGGCCGGGGAAUCCGCAAGGCGCGUCGUGAUGGGGAUUGAACGUUGCAAUUGUUGUUCACGAAC